GUAAAGUUCCCCUGCAAAAUUUCGACGUAUGUCCGAAAGUUUGAAAAUUUGUGCACGCCCGUGGGCGUGGGAUGAAGAGGGAGCAGCGAUACCGACGAAAGAAGAACGUUACGUGGUCUAGGUCGUCGAUCCCGAUUGCGGCCAGCAGGACUGUGGAGCUUAGGAGGCGUCGCCCAUCAACAAUCCAGGAGAAACGAUGAACCUCCGCGGAAUAAACAUCAUCUCCUUGAAUGGCGUUCAGGAUAUCCGCCGCGGUGAUCGAUUCGUCGCGGAUCAAGAACUGUUGGACGCUAUCUGCAGCCAAACGGCUCGUUACCGGUAUCAGUUAACCUAACGUUUUUAACUGGAGGAGUUAUUUAGUACACCCGUAAUUAUUGGUCUUUAGUAUUAGGAGGCCUGCUCGGUGUAUCGGACGUCUGUCAGAUAUAUGUGCGUUGAGAGUGACAAAUGGAGGGUGGAAGAUAACGCGCUAGGUUUAAGUUUUGGAAGCGGGGACGAAUUCUGUCCCGACAGAAAUACAGCAAAUGGCCGAGGAGUGAACUUGGCCGCCCGACAAAAGUCGAUCUUCUCAACAUCAGUCCAUGAGGAUAAUGCUCGAUUCACCUGGCGUUCUUCGAACGACCCCUGGAGUUGGGGAAGACCAUUCCCCAUCAGGACCUGGGUAAGCGGUGCCCAGGGAUCCAACGUUCAGUGUACGAGUGCGGAACCAGGGAUCUAAAUACCGUCUUCCCAAGUCCAAAUAGCACACUAACUACGGAAGCGAGAGAGAAAAUUAUAGAUACCUGUAUACUACCUGUACAUUGCUGACUGGUUGACAAAUAUAAGCUGCACUUCAACAACUUUUACUUUAAUUUCAGCACUAUUUGAAGAAAUAACUUCCAAAUAAAGUCCAAAUACCGGCAAAUGCCUACAAACACAUAUCCCGUAUUCAAUCAAAAGUCGAACAAUUCUCGUCGUCCC
This 960-nucleotide long non-coding RNA is filed under the name Androctonus crassicauda. Lineage: Eukaryota; Metazoa; Arthropoda; Arachnida; Scorpiones; Buthidae. The record is from RNAcentral.